AUGGAAGAGAGGCUGGUCAUCCACUCCAAGGGUGAGGUACUCGAUGUUCCUCGUCCCGCCCCGGUUGGUGUAGAAAAUGUCCGGGUCGGUGGCGCCGACGUCGCGCACCCACUGUGGGAUGGGGAUGUUGACGAUGUCUACGACGUUGCCACCGCACUGGUGGAACGACAUGAUGGCCUGCAGCUUGAGCCCGGCCUCGUGCACCAGGUCGAAGACCUGCUUGUAGGCGCUCCAGUCGUACGCCUUGGGGCCCUUGCCCUCCACCAGCCCCCACCAGACGUCUAUCAUGACGCCGUCCACGCCGGCCUCCGUCAGCUUCUUCAGCUGCGCCCUGGUCUCAUCGCCCUUCUCGAACUUGUUGUCGACGCUCACGACGUCCAGCUAUUCUCACAGUGGAAGUGA
This 402-nucleotide ribosomal RNA is filed under the name Triticum aestivum (bread wheat). RNAcentral's name for it is "partial small subunit ribosomal RNA". The record is from RNAcentral. Lineage: Eukaryota; Viridiplantae; Streptophyta; Magnoliopsida; Poales; Poaceae.